GUCCAGGUCAGCUCCUGGUCCAUGAACCCCUAGACGAUAAGAGCCAAAGGUGACUAUGAUAGCAUUUGCAUCCUCAACCAUUUGAUCUAUGUAGCCUCUCUGGCGAGUCAAUUGUUUCACCCAUUGUUUUACAAUCUGGUCAAGUCGCCGCAGUACUUCUUCUCUCCUUGCAGUCUCUUCCUCACUCUCAUACAAUUCUGAUUCCCUCAAAAACUUUUCCAGUUCUGCAUUUCUUUGAAGAUCUGUCUCAGUUGGUCCAGCAAGAGAUAAUGGCUUUGUGACACCAUAUUUCUUUGGUGGUGGUGCAACAGACUCACUUAAGC
RNAcentral lists this unclassified non-coding RNA (323 nucleotides) under Hevea brasiliensis (rubber tree). Lineage: Eukaryota; Viridiplantae; Streptophyta; Magnoliopsida; Malpighiales; Euphorbiaceae. The record is from RNAcentral.